CCGAUCCUCGGUAAAACAGGUACACAGCGCUUGCCUCCGGAGCAAGAGGUCGUGAGUUCGAAUCUCGCCGGGCGUACGA
This 79-nucleotide transfer RNA is filed under the name Fidelibacterota bacterium. RNAcentral's name for it is "tRNA-Arg". The record is from RNAcentral. Lineage: Bacteria; Pseudomonadati; Fidelibacterota.